Molecule: ribosomal RNA, 433 nt
Filed under: uncultured bacterium
Lineage: Bacteria
Description: partial 16S ribosomal RNA
Rfam family: Bacterial small subunit ribosomal RNA
Source: RNAcentral
AACGAACGCUGGCGGCAUGCCUAACACAUGCAAGUCGAACGAGACCUUCGGGUCUAGUGGCGCACGGGUGCGUAAAGCGUGGGAACCUGCCCUUAGGUUCGGAAUAACUCCCCGAAAGGGGUGCUAAUACCGGAUAAUGUCUUCGGACCAAAGAUUUAUCGCCUUUGGAUGGGCCCGCGUUGGAUUAGUUAGUGGGUAGGGUAAAAGCCUACCAAGGCGACGAUCCAUAGCUGGUCUGAGAGGAUGAUCAGCCACACUGGGACUGAGACACGGCCCAGACUCCUACGGGAGGCAGCAGUGGGGAAUAUUGGACAAUGGGCGAGAGCCUGAUCCAGCAAUGCCGGGUGAGUGAUGAAGGCCUUAGGGUUGUAAAGCUCUUUUAACCGGGAUGAUAAUGACAGUACCGGGAGAAUAAGCUCCGGCUAACUACGUG